This 75-nucleotide antisense RNA is filed under the name Streptomyces lavendulae subsp. lavendulae. Its description in RNAcentral is "ASpks TB sRNA". It matches the Rfam family "ASpks TB sRNA". Lineage: Bacteria; Bacillati; Actinomycetota; Actinomycetes; Kitasatosporales; Streptomycetaceae. The record is from Rfam by way of RNAcentral.
CUUGAUCGAGCCCAGCAGCAGCGGCUCGUCCGCCGCGCGCUCCCGGCCGUAGGUGGCCAGCAGGGCCUGCGCCUC